Apis florea (little honeybee) is the source of this 164-nucleotide long non-coding RNA. The record is from RefSeq and is a predicted model, not a curated record. Lineage: Eukaryota; Metazoa; Arthropoda; Insecta; Hymenoptera; Apidae.
GAAGAAGAAGAAAGAGAGAGAGAAAAAACGAAGAAAAGAAAGAAAGCAUACCUGAGCAACGAGAAAACGAUCAUCGCUACGAUCAACAUGGCGAAGGACGUGGAAUAUCCAAUUUGGGACACGAUCCUGACGAUAGGCAACCAUCUCUGACGAAAGUUCAAUUU